RNAcentral lists this ribosomal RNA (435 nucleotides) under uncultured bacterium. Its description in RNAcentral is "partial 16S ribosomal RNA". It matches the Rfam family "Bacterial small subunit ribosomal RNA", at positions 29 to 507 of the family's 1533-position model. The record is from RNAcentral.
AGCGAACGCUGGCGGCAGGCUUAACACAUGCAAGUCGAACGGGCUUCUUCGGACGUCAGUGGCAGACGGGUGAGUAACACGUGGGAACGUGCCCUUCGGUUCGGAAUAACUCAGGGAAACUUGAGCUAAUACCGGAUACGCCCUUUUGGGGAAAGGUUUACUGCCGAAGGAUCGGCCCGCGUCUGAUUAGCUUGUUGGUGGGGUAACGGCCUGCCAAGGCGACGAUCAGUAGCUGGUCUGAGAGGAUGAUCAGCCACACUGGGACUGAGACACGGCCCAGACUCCUACGGGAGGCAGCAGUGGGGAAUAUUGGACAAUGGGCGCAAGCCUGAUCCAGCCAUGCCGCGUGAGUGAUGAAGGCCUUAGGGUUGUAAAGCUCUUUUGUCCGGGACGAUAAUGACGGUACCGGAAGAAUAAGCCCCGGCUAACUUCGUG